AAAGAUCUAAAUAAUUACAUAAAUAAUGCUUCUAAAAAUAUGGUCACAGGACACUGUGACUGAGGAGUUUUCUCUUAGUGAUCUGAAGCUAACAUUGCGUCAGGACACCACAGUGCUGUUAUAAACACACACACACAAAACACAGAGUAUCACUAAGUCUGUAACAAUUUACAUAAAGAUGAACUGGAACGAUGUAUUAAUAUUUACUAUAUAUGUAAAUUUGCCAGUGCCUACUGUGUGCUAGGCCUUUAUAAAUGCUACAUCUAUUCUUAGACCGGCUCUGCAAGGUAGGGAUGAUGCUGAGGGGACAGGCCUCGGAGCAAUGGCCCCUGCCAUCUACCUGCAGCCUCAAGGCUGGUGGGGACAGAACUGGGACCCACCCUGGCCUGGCUGCUCCUCCCACUCCACCAUGCCUGUCCUUUUUUUUAUGGGGUACAGGACUGGAGAACUGUCAAAUAAGCCCAAAAAAGUAAAAAUAGAAGACAAAAAGUGGUUAAAGGAAAGCACACAAAUGGAAGUUCUUUGUUUCUACAGCAGGAUCCCACGAGGCCCGGGGAACGCGGUGUGGGGCAGCCUUGUGUUUCUGCCGUUUGCUUCCACUUCCACCAGCGCCACGCGGCACGCCUGCUCUCUUCGCUUACGUGCAGGUCUGGGGUGUGGGACACUUAGCUUGUUUCCGUUGUUUCAUGUGAAGAGAUUGGUUUAUUUAAACAACUGGCAUGAAAUGGCCAAGCAAAAGUUGCUUUGAAUUUAACCUAUUCUAAUUUUAUAAAUUUUGUGAUUUAACUAGAGAAGAAAAUCUAGAAGUAUUUUACCAUCUAGGUUGGAAAACCAGUUUAAACUGAAGAGGAUUUUUAGCAGCAUCUCAACCACUAAAAAAAAAGGCCUAAAAAUGAAAAUUUUUUCCGUAGUUUGGCAUCGCUGGGAGGUACUGUUUUCCUCAGGUUUCUGUACCACUUUCGAACGACGUGCCCUCUCCAGUGGGCUUGGAUUCUGAAACACAGGUUUGACAAGGAUUCACUCUGGAUGACUCCAGGUGGACAAAUAUUUCUGUACAUGCUGUGAGCCCUGUGCUGUCUGAGGCCCCGGGGAGAUGACAGUGGCCUAGAAAAGGGAGAAUCCCUGUAUCUUCCCCAGUUAGUUAGCGGGCGUGGUGGCCACAGGUCCACCUCACGCGGCACGGGCGCUGGCAUCCCGGGGGGACUGGGCCCCUUCGCACCUCGUUGCGCACUUUAUUCGGAACAGGUGGGCCCCGUCGCGUAUCACUCGGGUCUGAUACUGGCUCUUCCUGCAGAGAGGACAGGUUUUCUUAUUUGCGAACUUUUCAAAGGCCUGAAGGCAUGCCUGAGGAAAAACAUUUCACUUAAAAUUUUACUAGUAAUUACUUUUAAACAUUUUUACUUCUAAUGUAAUUAUAGUGUUCUUUCCUCUCAUAAUUCUGAGACUUAAUCCAAUUUAGAUUAUAAAGUGAAGAAGUUUCAUCAGAUGUUAACACCUUCCUCAUGAAACCUGUUCUAAAAAUGAUUUUUUUACAAGAAUAUACAUGCACAGACAUCAAAAACUUUUGAAAAUCAACUAGUGUAAAGGAGACUUUAAAAUGAGUACGGUUUCUCCGAGCUACAAGAAUGAUACACUGCGCACUUGAUCAUGGGAGGGGGCAGGAUUUACUCACUCUGUGAAACACAUGGGAACAUGAAAGCAGCACCUGUUCACAAGUAAACAGAAGGAUGUUUGAAGUUUAAUAAAAGAGAAGCAGCAUAAAUGUAUUAAUUAAAAGAAAAA
Long non-coding RNA from Lemur catta (Ring-tailed lemur), 1782 nucleotides. RefSeq lists it as uncharacterized. NCBI's taxonomy places the organism in Eukaryota, Metazoa, Chordata, Mammalia, Primates, Lemuridae. The transcript has 3 exons. The record is from RefSeq and is a predicted model, not a curated record.